Molecule: ribosomal RNA, 253 nt
Filed under: uncultured bacterium
Lineage: Bacteria
Description: partial 16S ribosomal RNA
Rfam family: Bacterial small subunit ribosomal RNA
Source: RNAcentral
UACGAAGGGGCCGAGCGUUGUUCGGAAUCACUGGGCGUAAAGGGCGCGUAGGCGGCCCUCCUUGUCGCGUGUGAAAGCCCCGGGCUCAACCUGGGAACGGCGCGCGAGACGGGGGGGCUGGAGUUCGGGAGAGGAGCGUGGAAUUCCCAGUGUAGAGGUGAAAUUCGUAGAUAUUGGGAAGAACACCGGUGGCGAAGGCGGCGCUCUGGACCGAGACUGACGCUGAGGCGCGAAAGCGUGGGGAGCAAACAGG